Molecule: ribosomal RNA, 560 nt
Filed under: uncultured bacterium
Lineage: Bacteria
Description: bacterial SSU rRNA
Rfam family: Bacterial small subunit ribosomal RNA
Source: RNAcentral
CCGGGUGAGUAACACGUGACUAACCUGCCUUCGAGUGGGGGAUAACCUCGGGAAACCGGGGCUAAUACCGCAUAAUGCCUUCGGGUUAAAGGAGCAAUUCGCUUGAAGAGGGGGUCGCGGCUGAUUAGCUAGUUGGCGGGGUAAUGGCCCACCAAGGCGAUGAUCGGUAGCCGGCCUGAGAGGGCGCACGGCCACACUGGAACUGAAACACGGUCCAGACUCCUACGGGAGGCAGCAGUGGGGAAUUUUGCGCAAUGGGGGAAACCCUGACGCAGCAACGCCGCGUGGAGGAUGAAGUCCCUUGGGACGUAAACUCCUUUCGACCGGGACGAUAAUGACGGUACCGGUGGAAGAAGCCCCGGCUAACUUCGUGCCAGCAGCCGCGGUAAUACGAGGGGGGCAAGCGUUGUUCGGAAUUAUUGGGCGUAAAGGGCGCGUAGGCGGUGCGGUAAGUCACCUGUGAAACCUCUAGGCUUAACCUAGAGCCUGCAGGCGAAACUGCCGUGCUGGAGUGUGGGAGAGGUGCGUGGAAUUCCCGGUGUAGCGGUGAAAUGCGUAGA